RNAcentral lists this ribosomal RNA (216 nucleotides) under Glomeromycotina sp. Its description in RNAcentral is "partial small subunit ribosomal RNA". The stretch from base 87 to 216 matches the Rfam family "Eukaryotic small subunit ribosomal RNA", at positions 733 to 864 of the family's 1831-position model. The record is from RNAcentral. Lineage: Eukaryota; Fungi; Glomeromycota.
GGGUCAGUAGGUUGGUCGUGCCACCGGUACGUACUGGUCUCACUGAUUCCUCCUUCCUGAAGAACCGUAAUGCCACUAAUUUGGUGUUGCGGGGAAACAGGACUGUUACUUUGAAAAAAUUAGAGUGUUUAAAGCAAGCUAACGCUUGAAUACAUUAGCAUGGAAUAACGAAAUAGGACGAUCGAUCCUAUUUUGUUGGUUUCUAGGAUUGACGUA